Molecule: ribosomal RNA, 468 nt
Filed under: uncultured bacterium
Lineage: Bacteria
Description: partial 16S ribosomal RNA
Rfam family: Bacterial small subunit ribosomal RNA
Source: RNAcentral
GACGAACGCUGGCGGCGUGCUUAACACAUGCAAGUCGAACGGAAAGGCCCUGCUUUUGUGGGGUGCUCGAGUGGCGAACGGGUGAGUAACACGUCACUAACCUGCCCUUGACUUUGGUAUAACUUCAGGAAACUGGGGCUAAUACCGGAUAGGAGCUCCUGCUGCAUGGUGGGGGUUGGAAAGUUUCGGCGGUUGGGGAUGGAAUCGCGGCUUAUCAGCUUGUUGGUGGGGUAGUGGCUUACCAAGGCUUUGACGGGUAGCCGGCCUGAGAGGGUGACCGGCCACAUUGGGACUGAGAUACGGCCCAGACUCCUACGGGAGGCAGCAGUGGGGAAUAUUGCACAAUGGGCGGAAGCCUGAUGCAGCAACGCCGCGUGCGGGAUGACGGCCUUCGGGUUGUAAACCGCUUUCGCCUGUGACGAAGCGUGAGUGACGGUAAUGGGUAAAGAAGCACCGGCUAACUACGUG